This 484-nucleotide ribosomal RNA is filed under the name uncultured bacterium. RNAcentral's name for it is "partial 16S ribosomal RNA". It matches the Rfam family "Bacterial small subunit ribosomal RNA", at positions 30 to 507 of the family's 1533-position model. The record is from RNAcentral.
AUUGAACGCUGGCGGCAGGCCUAACACAUGCAAGUCGAGCGGAUGAAGGGAACUUGCUCCUGGAUUCAGCGGCGGACGGGUGAGUAAUGCCUAGGAAUCUGCCUGGUAGUGGGGGAUAACGUCCGGAAACGGGCGCUAAUACCGCAUACGUCCUGAGGGAGAAAGUGGGGGAUCUUCGGACCUCACGCUAUCAGAUGAGCCUAGGUCGGAUUAGCUAGUUGGUGGGGUAAAGGCCUACCAAGGCGACGAUCCGUAACUGGUCUGAGAGGAUGAUCAGUCACACUGGAACUGAGACACGGUCCAGACUCCUACGGGAGGCAGCAGUGGGGAAUAUUGGACAAAGGGCGAAAGCCUGAUCCAGCCAUGCCGCGUGUGUGAAGAAGGUCUUCGGAUUGUAAAGCACUUUAAGUUGGGAGGAAGGGCAGUAAGUUAAUACCUUGCUGUUUUGACGUUACUAACAGAAUAAGCACCGGCUAACUUCGUG